Molecule: ribosomal RNA, 446 nt
Filed under: uncultured bacterium
Lineage: Bacteria
Description: bacterial SSU rRNA
Rfam family: Bacterial small subunit ribosomal RNA
Source: RNAcentral
ACCAGACUCCUACGGGAGGCAGCAGUGGGGGAUAUUGCACAAUGGGGGAAACCCUGAUGCAGCGACGCCGCGUGGGUGAAGAAGUAUUUCGGUAUGUAAAGCCCUAUCAGCAGGGAAGAAAGAAGACGGUACCUGACUAAGAAGCCCCGGCUAACUACGUGCCAGCAGCCGCGGUAAUACGUAGGGGGCGAGCGUUAUCCGGAUUCACUGGGUGUAAAGGGAGCGUAGACGGCCGUGCAAGCCAGGAGUGAAAGCCCGGGGCCCAACCCCGGGACUGCUCUUGGAACUGUGCGGCUGGAGUGCGGGAGGGGCAGGCGGAAUUCCUGGUGUAGCGGUGAAAUGCGUAGAUAUCAGGAGGAACACCGGCGGCGAAGGCGGCCUGCUGGACCGCGACUGACGUUGAGGCUCGAAAGCGUGGGGAGCGAACAGGAUUAGAUACCCCGGUA